GAAUGUACGUCCGGCAUUCUCCCUUGAGACAUUAUUUACAUAGCGACGGACACAGGUUUUCCAUAGUUAACCAUCUAUGGUUUUUUCCUGGGCGGUUUUUAAUGUCUGUGAUAGGGUGCUUUAUUGUUUCACAAUCAAUGUAAUGUUUGUUCAAUAUUUAUGUAUUGUUAUAAAAAAAUGCCAUCUGCUCCAACUAAGCUAAACUGGCUUGCAGCAUAGGUGUUGUUUUAUUUGAGGUGUAGUCUGUCAAAUAAUGAUGAGUCGAGAAUAUACUAAGAGGGUCUCUGAGGAAACUUGCCCUUGAAUGUUUAUGUAAAAUCUGAAUAAAAAAAAUUAUCAAACUU
Long non-coding RNA from Saccostrea cuccullata (small rock oyster), 344 nucleotides. RefSeq lists it as uncharacterized. The record is from RefSeq and is a predicted model, not a curated record. NCBI's taxonomy places the organism in Eukaryota, Metazoa, Mollusca, Bivalvia, Ostreida, Ostreidae. The transcript has 2 exons.